GCACCUGUAGCUCAGCUGGAUAGAGUGUCGCCCUCCGAAGGCGAAGGUCACAGGUUCGACUCCUGUCAGGUGCGCCA
Molecule: transfer RNA, 77 nt
Filed under: Pseudomonadota bacterium
Lineage: Bacteria; Pseudomonadati; Pseudomonadota
Description: Proteobacteria bacterium tRNA-Arg
Rfam family: tRNA
About the family: Transfer RNA (tRNA) molecules are approximately 80 nucleotides in length. Their secondary structure includes four short double-helical elements and three loops (D, anti-codon, and T loops).
Source: RNAcentral